CGUCAUCGCUCCUGUCGUCUUGGUCGUAAAAGUAUUCUGAAAAAUGAAUUGUAGUUUUUAUUGUAGCUCCUUCACCAUCAUGAUGGAUGGGGCGGGGUUCAGUCUGAAAGUGCGUGUUGGUCUACCUGCAUCAUCAGGUACAUCAGCACUCUGAGCUCGUCUGACGGCUGGAUUGCCCGCGUGGGCGGUGUAUCGAUACAGCUGGUUUUCUCCUCUGCCGUCUUGCUGGUUGAUCUGUGUGAGG
Long non-coding RNA from Syngnathus acus (greater pipefish), 244 nucleotides. RefSeq lists it as uncharacterized. The record is from RefSeq and is a predicted model, not a curated record. The transcript has 2 exons. Lineage: Eukaryota; Metazoa; Chordata; Actinopteri; Syngnathiformes; Syngnathidae.